UGGUCUCGAGGUAGGGAUGUUACUUAACUACAAUAAAUUUCAUUGUUUAGCACAAACUGGUAUCCAAUUUAGGCCUCAUUUUAUUUUGGCGCACAAACUAACAGAUAACCGAAAUGCCAAAUAGUCGUGUAAUCCAUGCAAUUACUGCAUCUCUUUUGCUCGGCACGGCAGGAUGGGCCAUUAAGGAGCUUGAGCACAAAUUCACCAUCGGCCUCGCCUGGUACAUUCUGGUCUCCCUCCAUUCCAUAUGCCUGCUCAUUCUUUUUGUAACCGGCGCACACACAGAUCUGGGCAAGGCAAGAGACAUCACAUCAUGGCUUGCGGGCGCCUUGGGACUGCCUUUCCUGGCCGGAAACUUUCAUCUACACUUCACGGGCCAGUAUUGCGGCUACGGCCAUGCUUUAACUGCCUGUCCUCCAAUCCUCGCCUGGCUGGCCGGCUCCAUCCCCAACAGAAACCGUUUGACGGAGCUAGUGGUACUCAGCUCCAGCCUGUCCAUCGGCAUCCUCUGCUUCCUCCACGGCAACAUGUUCGGCAUCGCCGCCGCCGUCACCAUGCUGGCCCUCUCCGGCGUCAUCAACGUCAACCUCGCCGAACAGAUGAACCUGAACAGGGACGACAUGUUCAGGGUGGGGCUGUCGUUGUUCAACUAUCUGAUUUUAGCCGCCGUUCAGUUCAGAUGGUGAGUGUUGGUGCGCUAAACCCAGCUUCACACGUCUUCACAGCCAUUCAGUUGACACCUGGCACGUGGACUACGAUAACCCCUUGCUUCUCCCCCGUAUUCCGAUAGGACUUUCCCGUGUCAAAGCAGCCCAUCCGAGCCAGGUGUUUGUGACUACCGUGCAACAUAAGCUUUUCAAUAAACUGAACGCGCCAUUACAA
Long non-coding RNA from Pollicipes pollicipes, 882 nucleotides. RefSeq lists it as uncharacterized. Lineage: Eukaryota; Metazoa; Arthropoda; Thecostraca; Pollicipedomorpha; Pollicipedidae. The transcript is spliced from 2 exons. The record is from RefSeq and is a predicted model, not a curated record.